RNAcentral lists this long non-coding RNA (1330 nucleotides) under Salmo trutta (river trout). RNAcentral describes it as "lncRNA (ENSSTUG00000015871.1)". Lineage: Eukaryota; Metazoa; Chordata; Actinopteri; Salmoniformes; Salmonidae. The record is from RNAcentral.
CUCCAUACAUUUUCCCUGACACCCAAAACAACUCAUUACAUUUUGACAGUAAAAUGGUCCAAUUCACACACUUGUCAAGAGAACAUCCCUGGUCAUCCCUACUGCCUCUGAUCUGGCGGACUCACUAAACACAAAUGCUUAAUUUGUAAAUUAUGUCUGAGUGUUGUAGUGUGCCACUGGCUAUCUGUCAAUAAAAAUAAACAAAUACAAUUGUGCUGUCUGGUUUGUUUAAUAUAAGUAAGUUGAAAUGAUUUAUACUUUUACUUUUGAUACUUAAGUACAUUUGAGCAAUUCCAAAUACUUUUAGACUUUUGCUCAAGUAGUAUUUCACUGGGUCACUUUCACUUGAGUCAUUUUCUAUUAAGGUAUAUUUACUCUUACUCAAGUGUGACAAUCGAGUACUUUUUCCACCACUGGUUUCUGGUAAGCAAAAAAUAUGCUGAAUGUCCUUAAUUUAUGUUUUAAAAAUAUCAAAAUGUUAUUUUCUGUUGCGCUUUGUCGAGGAAUGCUUAAAUACCAUACCUUUGUCUGUACAUUAUACCAUGAAGCUAUUUUAUCGCCCCCAGAAACCUGCUCCUUUUUCUCUCUAUUCCGGACGUCACAGACGACCAAUUCUUAUAGCUUUUAGCCGUACCCUUAUCCUUAUACUUCUCUGUUCCUCUGGUGAUGUAGAGGUGAAUCCAGGCCCUGCAGUGCCUAGCUCCACUCCUACUCCCCAGGCGCUCUCUUUUGAUGACUUCUGUAACCGUAAUAGCCUUGGUUUCAUGCAUGUUAACAUUAGAAGCCUCCUCCCUAAGUUUGUUUUAUUCACUGCUUUAGCACACUCUGCCAACCCGGAUGUCCUAGCCGUGUCUGAAUCCUGGCUUAGGAAGUCCACCAAAAACUCUGAAAUCUUCAUCCCUAACUACAACGUUUUCAGACAAGAUAGAACAGCCAAAGGGGGCGGUGUUGCAAUCUACUGCAGAGAUAGCCUGCAGAGUUCUGUCCUACUAUCCAGGUCUGUACCCAAACAAUUUAAACUUCUCCUUUUAAAAAUCCAUCUCUCUAAAAACAAGUCUCUCACCGUUGCCACCUGCUAUAGACCACCCUCGGCCCCCAGCUGUGCUCUGGACACCAUAUGUGAACUGAUUUCCCCCCAUCUAUCUUCAGAGCUCGUGCUACUAGGUGACCUAAACUGGGACAUGCUUAACACCCCAGCCAUCCUACAAUCCAAGCUUGACGCCCUCAAUCUCACACAAAUUACUAAUGAACCCACCAGGUACCACCGCAAAGCCGUAAACACUGGCACCCUCAUAGAUAUCAUCCUAACCAAUUUGCCCUCUAAAUACAC